RNAcentral lists this ribosomal RNA (206 nucleotides) under uncultured bacterium. Its description in RNAcentral is "partial 16S ribosomal RNA". It matches the Rfam family "Bacterial small subunit ribosomal RNA", at positions 568 to 774 of the family's 1533-position model. The record is from RNAcentral.
AGCGCAGGUGGAUGGUUAAGUCAGGUGUGAAACCUGCGGGCUCAACCCGCAGCCUGCACCUGAAACUGGCUAUCUGGAGUCCCGGAGAGGUAGGCGGAAUACCUGGUGUAGCGGUGAAAUGCGUAGAUAUCAGGUGGAACACCAAUGGCGAAGGCAGCCUACUGGACGGUGACUGACACUGAGGCUCGAAAGGCUGGGAGCAAACA